GGGUCGAUGGCGUAGUUGGUUAUCGCAUCUGUCUAACAUAGGUCCAAGAUGUCAUGUAACACAGAAGGUCCUCAGUUCGAACCUGGGUCGACUCA
Hymenopellis radicata is the source of this 95-nucleotide non-coding RNA. The record is from the annotation of a GenBank genome assembly. Lineage: Eukaryota; Fungi; Basidiomycota; Agaricomycetes; Agaricales; Physalacriaceae.